Molecule: ribosomal RNA, 832 nt
Filed under: Sordariomycetes sp. genotype 16
Lineage: Eukaryota; Fungi; Ascomycota; Sordariomycetes
Description: eukaryotic LSU rRNA
Rfam family: Eukaryotic large subunit ribosomal RNA (bases 432-832)
Source: RNAcentral
UUGCCUCGGCGGGCGGCCCCUCCCUGGGGCCGCUGCCUCCCUCGGGGGGUGCCCGCCGGCGUACCAAAACUCUUUUGUAUUUUAGUGGCCUCUCUGAGAAAACAAGCAAAUAAGUUAAAACUUUCAACAACGGAUCUCUUGGUUCUGGCAUCGAUGAAGAACGCAGCGAAAUGCGAUAAGUAAUGUGAAUUGCAGAAUUCAGUGAAUCAUCGAAUCUUUGAACGCACAUUGCGCCCGCCAGUACUCUGGCGGGCAUGCCUGUUCGAGCGUCAUUUCAACCCUCAAGCCCUGCUUGGUGUUGGGGUCCUACGGCUGCCGUAGGCCCUGAAAGCUAGUGGCGGGCUCGCUAUAACUCCGAGCGUAGUAGUAAAAUAUCUCGCUAGGGAGGUGUCGCGGGUUCCGGCCGUGAAAGCCCAUCUUUUACACAAGGUUGACCUCGGAUCAGGUAGGAAUACCCGCUGAACUUAAGCAUAUCAAUAAGCGGAGGAAAAGAAACCAACAGGGAUUGCCCCAGUAACGGCGAGUGAAGCGGCAACAGCUCAAAUUUGAAAUCUGGCUUCGGCCCGAGUUGUAAUUUGUAGAGGAUGCUUUUGGUGAGGUGCCUUCUGAGUUCCCUGGAACGGGACGCCAGAGAGGGUGAGAGCCCCGUAUAGUUGGACACCGAGCCUCUGUAAAGCUCCUUCGACGAGUCGAGUAGUUUGGGAAUGCUGCUCAAAAUGGGAGGUAUAUCUCUUCUAAAGCUAAAUACUGGCCAGAGACCGAUAGCGCACAAGUAGAGUGAUCGAAAGAUGAAAAGCACUUUGAAAAGAGGGUUAAAUAGUACGUGAAAUUG